RNAcentral lists this ribosomal RNA (463 nucleotides) under uncultured marine eukaryote. RNAcentral's name for it is "bacterial SSU rRNA". It matches the Rfam family "Eukaryotic small subunit ribosomal RNA", at positions 634 to 1107 of the family's 1831-position model. The record is from RNAcentral.
UUGGAUUUUGCAGGAGGGCGCACGACCGGGCUUUGCUCAGGCCGCGCGCCUACCUGUUUUUUGUCGGGGACUACGCCACUCUUAACUGGGGGGCGCUAGGACGCGGCUCGUUUACUUUGAAAAAAUUAGAGUGUUCAAAGCAGGCCUUUGCUUGAAUACAUUAGCAUGGAAUAAUGGAAUAGGACUUUGGUUCUAUUUUGUUGGUUUCUAGAACCGAAGUAAUGAUUAAUAGGGAUAGUUGGGGGCGUUUAUAUUUCCAUGUCAGAGGUGAAAUUCUUGGAUUCUGGAAAGAUAAACUUCUGCGAAAGCAUUCGCCAAGGAUGUUUUCAUUAAUCAAGAACGAAAGUUAGGGGAUCGAAGACGAUCAGAUACCGUCGUAGUCUUAACCAUAAACUAUGCCGACUAGGGAUCAGUGGACGUUAUUUUAUGACUCCAUUGGCACCUUGUGAGAAAUCAAAGUUUU